AAUGGAUUAAAUUUCUCAUUAAA
RNAcentral lists this transfer RNA (23 nucleotides) under Carinigera praecipua praecipua. RNAcentral describes it as "Isabellaria praecipua praecipua partial tRNA-Met". Lineage: Eukaryota; Metazoa; Mollusca; Gastropoda; Stylommatophora; Clausiliidae. The record is from RNAcentral.